UCCCUUAUAGCUCAGUUGAUAAAGCAUCUGCCUGCAAUGCAGGAGACCAGGUUCAAUUCCUGGGUUGGGAA
RNAcentral lists this transfer RNA (71 nucleotides) under Bos taurus (domestic cattle). It matches the Rfam family "tRNA". From Rfam's summary of the family: Transfer RNA (tRNA) molecules are approximately 80 nucleotides in length. Their secondary structure includes four short double-helical elements and three loops (D, anti-codon, and T loops). Further hydrogen bonds mediate the characteristic L-shaped molecular structure. tRNAs have two regions of fundamental functional importance: the anti-codon, which is responsible for specific mRNA codon recognition, and the 3' end, to which the tRNAs corresponding amino acid is attached (by aminoacyl-tRNA synthetases). tRNAs cope with the degeneracy of the genetic code in two manners: having more than one tRNA (with a specific anti-codon) for a particular amino acid; and 'wobble' base-pairing, i.e. permitting non-standard base-pairing at the 3rd anti-codon position. Lineage: Eukaryota; Metazoa; Chordata; Mammalia; Artiodactyla; Bovidae. RNAcentral also lists the same sequence under 2 other names. The record is from Rfam by way of RNAcentral.